GCCACUUUAGCUCAGCGGUAGAGCAGCGCAUUCGUAACGCGCAGGUCAACAGUUCAAAUCUGUUAAGUGGCU
Molecule: transfer RNA, 72 nt
Filed under: Bacteroidales bacterium
Lineage: Bacteria; Pseudomonadati; Bacteroidota; Bacteroidia; Bacteroidales
Also listed under: 1 other name
Description: tRNA-Thr
Rfam family: tRNA
About the family: Transfer RNA (tRNA) molecules are approximately 80 nucleotides in length. Their secondary structure includes four short double-helical elements and three loops (D, anti-codon, and T loops). Further hydrogen bonds mediate the characteristic L-shaped molecular structure. tRNAs have two regions of fundamental functional importance: the anti-codon, which is responsible for specific mRNA codon recognition, and the 3' end, to which the tRNAs corresponding amino acid is attached (by aminoacyl-tRNA synthetases). tRNAs cope with the degeneracy of the genetic code in two manners: having more than one tRNA (with a specific anti-codon) for a particular amino acid; and 'wobble' base-pairing, i.e. permitting non-standard base-pairing at the 3rd anti-codon position.
Source: RNAcentral